Molecule: ribosomal RNA, 1098 nt
Filed under: Salmonella enterica subsp. enterica
Lineage: Bacteria; Pseudomonadati; Pseudomonadota; Gammaproteobacteria; Enterobacterales; Enterobacteriaceae
Description: partial 23S ribosomal RNA
Rfam family: Bacterial large subunit ribosomal RNA
Source: RNAcentral
UCCAUAGGUUAAUGAGGCGAACCGGGGGAACUGAAACAUCUAAGUACCCCGAGGAAAAGAAAUCAACCGAGAUUCCCCCAGUAGCGGCGAGCGAACGGGGAGGAGCCCAGAGCCUGAAUCAGCAUGUGUGUUAGUGGAAGCGUCUGGAAAGGCGCGCGAUACAGGGUGACAGCCCCGUACACAAAAGCGCAUGUGCUGUGAGCUCGAUGAGUAGGGCGGGACACGUGGUAUCCUGUCUGAAUAUGGGGGGACCAUCCUCCAAGGCUAAAUACUCCUGACUGACCGAUAGUGAACCAGUACCGUGAGGGAAAGGCGAAAAGAACCCCGGCGAGGGGAGUGAAAAAGAACCUGAAACCGUGUACGUACAAGCAGUGGGAGCCCCACCACUAAGCCAGUGGUGAACUCCACAUACGCAUCCUUUGCUGAGGAUACGGUUAACGGAGCGAAAGCGACGUUCAACCUCAAAAGAAGCAGAGGGGGCUUAGUGGUGGGGUGACUGCGUACCUUUUGUAUAAUGGGUCAGCGACUUAUAUUCUGUAGCAAGGUUAACCGAAUAGGGGAGCCGGAGGGAAACCGAGUCUUAACCGGGCGUUAAGUUGCAGGGUAUAGACCCGAAACCCGGUGAUCUAGCCAUGGGCAGGUUGAAGGUUGGGUAACACUAACUGGAGGACCGAACCGACUAAUGUUGAAAAAUUAGCGGAUGACCUGUGGCUGGGGGUGAAAGGCCAAUCAAACCGGGAGAUAGCUGGUUCUCCCCGAAAGCUAUUUAGGUAGCGCCUCGUGAAUUCAUCUCCGGGGGUAGAGCACUGUUUCGGCUAGGGGGCCAUCCCGGCUUACCAACCCGAUGCAAACUGCGAAUACCGGAGAAUGUUAUCACGGGAGACACACGGCGGGUGCUAACGUCCGUCGUGAAGAGGGAAACAACCCAGACCGCCAGCUAAGGUCCCAAAGUCAUGGUUAAGUGGGAAACGAUGUGGGAAGGCCCAGACAGCCAGGAUGUUGGCUUAGAAGCAGCCAUCAUUUAAAGAAAGCGUAAUAGCUCACUGGUCGAGUCGGCCUGCGCGGAAGAUGUAACGGGGCUAAACCAUGCACCGAAGC